RNAcentral lists this long non-coding RNA (1122 nucleotides) under Equus caballus (horse). RNAcentral's name for it is "lncRNA (ENSECAG00000049934.1)". Lineage: Eukaryota; Metazoa; Chordata; Mammalia; Perissodactyla; Equidae. The record is from RNAcentral.
AUCACCUGGCCUCUUCCCAGACCAAUUAUAUCAGGCUUCCUGGGGAUGGGUGAUGCAGACGGCCGCAGCUUUUAGAGCUCCCCAGGUGAUUCCAAGCGCAGCCAGCUAGCCGGUAUCAGAGCCCCCGGAGGGCUUGUUAAAGCAGACUGCCACCCCACCCCCGAGUGCCUGGUCUCCUAGGUCUGGGAUAGGGCUCCGGAAUCCACAUUUCCAACAAGCUGCUAGAUGAUGCUGGCACUGCUGGUUCUUGGACCACACCUUGACAUCCACUGCCCAGGGUGGUUAGAUCGUCAGGAGAUGUGCGGAAGGGAGCGAUGAGAUUGGCUGACAUUUGUGAAGGAGCCGAGCUGUGGUGCGGCCUCGUCGGAGAGAGCAGGAAUCAUCUCUACUGUCUCGGCUGAUCCCCGGAAAGUCAAUCAAGAGGAGCCGCCUGGAUUAGGGCCCCUUGGACAGCAAGGGGAAUAACCUCCAGGGUUCCCCACCUCCGUCCCUGGCCCUGGCCUCCGUACCUGCAUUUUCUUAGGAGUAGAGAGUUUCUUUUAUGAUUUUAUUCCACUUCCCCUCGCUCCCAAGCUCCCCCAGUGGAGAGAGGAAUAGGGAACCCAGAGACAGAGAUGUUUUCUGUAGGGUUUUCCGUUGCUGAGUUCAUCUAUUCAUUCAACAAUCAUUUCAUUCAACAAAUCUACAUGGCAGCUCAGGCGGGCAGGGAAUUUUGUCUGUUUUGUUCAAUGCUGUACGCCCAGUGUCUGGCACACAGUCAGUGCUCAAUAAAUAUUUGUUCAGUGAGGGAGGGCCAACUUUGGGCUAGUCCCUCCACCGGGUGAGGAAGACACAGCCCCUGCCCUCAAGCACCCAGAGCAUUGUGCUGGGGGACAAAGUUGCUUAGCCAGGGACCACAGCCCGUGUGACAGGUGAGGCAACAGCCCAGGGUCUGGGAGCGUUUGGCAGAGGCCCCAUCCCUCUAGGGGAGUGAGGCUUUGGGGGGCCAGGAAGGGGCUCCCAGGGGAGGUAUGUGUCAGCUGAAGCCUGAAAGAUAAGCAGGCCAGGAGUAGAAGCACAGGUGAAGGGAGCUGACUGUCUCUUAUAUGCUGCUGGGGCAGGGGGUGGGGGCGUGGGGGGGUA